Molecule: ribosomal RNA, 460 nt
Filed under: uncultured bacterium
Lineage: Bacteria
Description: partial 16S ribosomal RNA
Rfam family: Bacterial small subunit ribosomal RNA
Source: RNAcentral
CCUACGGGUGGCAGCAGUGAGGAAUAUUGGUCAAUGGACGAGAGUCUGAACCAGCCAAGUAGCGUGAAGGAUGACUGCCCUAUGGGUUGUAAACUUCUUUUAUAUGGGAAUAAAAUGUUCCACGUGUGGGAUUUUGUAUGUACCAUAUGAAUAAGGAUCGGCUAACUCCGUGCCAGCAGCCGCGGUAAUACGGAGGAUCCGAGCGUUAUCCGGAUUUAUUGGGUUUAAAGGGAGCGUAGGUGGAUUGUUAAGUCAGUUGGGAAAGUUUGCGGCUCAACCAUAAAAUUGCAGUUGAAACUGGCAGUCUUGAGUACAGUAGAGGUGGGCGGAAUUCGUGGUGUAGCGGUGAAAUGCUUAGAUAUCACGAAGAACUCCGAUGGCGAAGGCAGCUCACUGGACUGCAACUGACACUGAGGCUCGAAAGUGUGGGUAUCAAACAGGAUUAGAUACCCCAGUAGUC